GUGUAGCAUUUAUCGACUCUAAUUAUAGGGACCCUAGUUGUGACUUGUUGUGACAUUUUUUUAAUUGUGAUUCACAAAAUUGUAGCGAACGAAUUUUCCGCGGCAAAUAUUUUUAUUUGAGCGAGUUUUUCUUCAAGAUGUUGGCUAACACUUCCAAAAUUUUCUCCAAGAUGAGUUAUCUCCGUGGAUUCAGCAGUUCUGCUGUAAGAUACAGCGAUAACCUUUUUGUGCAUCGAGAUACGGCAAAAGAUAAUCCCAGUAUUCCAUUUGAAUUUACCGAAGAGAACAAAAAGGUAAGGUUAACAUACACUCAGAAAUAAAUAAAGUCAUUAUUGAAUAUUUUCUAUGCAAAAUUGCGGUUUGACUGGGUUCAUGCAUUAACUGACUAAAUAUGAAUUAGUUAAGCAAGACUUUAUACCAUUUAGUUUUCAGAAUGCAUAUUUUUUAGCAUUUUUUGAAAAAGUUGAUCCUUGUAAUAUUUUCUAAAUUUUAUGCAUUUUAUGUAUAAAUUUAAGUAAAAAUCCGCUUCUCUUUAGGUGUUUCAUUUCAAUAUAUUAAAUUGGUGAAUCAGCAGCUAAAAUUCAACAUGAGGCGUUUCAAGCUGAUAAAUUUACAGUCAGGUUUUUUUUUACGCGGGGGAUACGUACCGCGUAAAAAAAAACUCAGUUCAAAAUUCGAAAAACCGCGUAAAAAAAGUCUAACCAUUUCUCGACGAAUCAUGCAAAAAUAAGACGAUGAAAUUUUUUUUGUAUGGAGUUUUCAUUUACGCGGCCGCGUAAAUCAAAACCGCGUAAAAAAAGACCUGAAAUUGAAUCAUUUUUACAAAGUUCAAUAUUUAAACAUUCAAUGGUUCUGCUGAGAAUCCUUCACUUCCUAUAACCUGCUGGGCUCUAACGAAGAGUAUCCUAGCCCACAAAUAAUAUUCCAAGCCCGAAUGUCCAUAUCCUGAUCCAUUAACAGGAACCUGUUCACGAUGUCAAUCUGGUGCUCUGCAAAGGAUAUGAUGUAAUUAAAUAUGGGAUAAGGAUAAUCUUCGUGGUAACAUAAAAUGAAGGGGCCGAUUUGGUUCACUCACCACGCCAUUUUUCUGAAAUCGCUUCUCGCAGAUAUGGUAGAACUGCACUGCAUCCAUUAUCAGGAACUUCUCGAGUUGUACUAAUAGUUAAUCAAAUAUUACUAAAUAAAUAAACAUACUUGAAAAAAAAAAUAACGAAA
This is an RNA transcript of Aedes albopictus (Asian tiger mosquito), 1215 nucleotides long. RefSeq lists it as uncharacterized. The record is from RefSeq and is a predicted model, not a curated record. Lineage: Eukaryota; Metazoa; Arthropoda; Insecta; Diptera; Culicidae. The transcript is spliced from 3 exons.